Molecule: RNA transcript, 634 nt
Organism: Manduca sexta (tobacco hornworm)
Lineage: Eukaryota; Metazoa; Arthropoda; Insecta; Lepidoptera; Sphingidae
Exons: 3
Source: RefSeq, a predicted model, not a curated record
GUUGCGGCCGGCGGGCGGGCGCCCGCGUCUCCACUCUCGCCGUCAGUCAUGGCACGCGCCGCGUACACCUCGGUGUCCGCCUUCGCCGCCGCGCUAGCACUACUCGCCGCGCUAGUCGCGUGCGAGGAAGAAGACUGCAUAGACUGGGAAGGGAAGUCGGUGCAGCACGGGCUGCUUUACGUACCUGGCCCUGGAGUGUGUUCGCUCUGCGUGUGCUACCACUCAGAACCGAUGUGGUGCAAGGCAAUAUACUGCGACCCGCCUUAUUUUUGCAAAAACUUCCGCGUGGGUGAGCGAUGCUGUGAGUUCGAGUGCCUAGACCCUCCCGAGAGGACACGAGGUACCGCGAGAGGCAACGGCUUCGGGCCCUGAUCUUAUCAGGCAACUCCUCCGCGCCACAUCAUGGACCUUCCAUGGAGUUGAAGGCCGGAAUAUCAUUACUAGCUGUUGCAGUCGCCAGAUUUGUAUGAAAAUAAGUUAAGGAAAAGGGUGUUGAAAAAAUGUCAAAAACAAAUAAGGAUUUGAAAACGUAUGGAAUAACCAAUGUUAUGAAAUUAUCUUAUGAAAAAUACGGCAAAAAUCAUAUGACGUAUACAAACUACUUUGAACUUUGUGGAUUAAUUUUGUCGCAAAA